This 734-nucleotide ribosomal RNA is filed under the name Bacillus thuringiensis. RNAcentral's name for it is "bacterial SSU rRNA". It matches the Rfam family "Bacterial small subunit ribosomal RNA", at positions 46 to 761 of the family's 1533-position model. Lineage: Bacteria; Bacillati; Bacillota; Bacilli; Caryophanales; Bacillaceae. The record is from RNAcentral.
GCUAAUACAUGCAAGUCGAGCGAAUGGAUUAAGAGCUUGCUCUUAUGAAGUUAGCGGCGGACGGGUGAGUAACACGUGGGUAACCUGCCCAUAAGACUGGGAUAACUCCGGGAAACCGGGGCUAAUACCGGAUAACAUUUUGAACCGCAUGGUUCGAAAUUGAAAGGCGGCUUCGGCUGUCACUUAUGGAUGGACCCGCGUCGCAUUAGCUAGUUGGUGAGGUAACGGCUCACCAAGGCAACGAUGCGUAGCCGACCUGAGAGGGUGAUCGGCCACACUGGGACUGAGACACGGCCCAGACUCCUACGGGAGGCAGCAGUAGGGAAUCUUCCGCAAUGGACGAAAGUCUGACGGAGCAACGCCGCGUGAGUGAUGAAGGCUUUCGGGUCGUAAAACUCUGUUGUUAGGGAAGAACAAGUGCUAGUUGAAUAAGCUGGCACCUUGACGGUACCUAACCAGAAAGCCACGGCUAACUACGUGCCAGCAGCCGCGGUAAUACGUAGGUGGCAAGCGUUAUCCGGAAUUAUUGGGCGUAAAGCGCGCGCAGGUGGUUUCUUAAGUCUGAUGUGAAAGCCCACGGCUCAACCGUGGAGGGUCAUUGGAAACUGGGAGACUUGAGUGCAGAAGAGGAAAGUGGAAUUCCAUGUGUAGCGGUGAAAUGCGUAGAGAUAUGGAGGAACACCAGUGGCGAAGGCGACUUUCUGGUCUGUAACUGACACUGAGGCGCGAAAGCG